AUUGAACGCUGGCGGCAGGCCUAACACAUGCAAGUCGAACGAGUUGCGGACGGGUGAGUAAUGUCUGGGAAACUGCCUGAUGGAGGGGUAUAACUACUGGAAACGGUAGCUAAUACCGCAUACCAUCCGAUUUGCCCAGAUGGGAUUAGCUAGUAGGUGGGGUAACGGCUCACCUAGGCGACGAUCCCUAGCUGGUCUGAGAGGAUGACCAGCCAGACUGGAACUGAGACACGGUCCAGACUCCUAAGGGAGGCAGAAGUGGGGAAUAUUGCACAAUGGGCGCAAGCCUGAUGCAGCCAUGCCGCGUGUAGGAAGAAGGCCUUCGGGUUGUAAAGUACUUUCAGCGAGGAGGCGUUACUCGCAGAAGAAGCACCGGCUAACUCCGUGCCAGCAGCCGCGGUAAUAC
This 406-nucleotide ribosomal RNA is filed under the name uncultured bacterium. RNAcentral's name for it is "partial 16S ribosomal RNA". It matches the Rfam family "Bacterial small subunit ribosomal RNA", at positions 30 to 526 of the family's 1533-position model. The record is from RNAcentral.